CCUUGAGGCCAAAUGAGUGACUCCUUAAUUGUGGAAGUUCAAGUCUCAGUGAACGUCCUCAAGUGCAUUCCUUUGUUCUUGAGAAAUACGUGCUCGUGAUAGGGGAUACGGAAAACGGAGCAAAGAAGUUUUCUAUCAAGAAGAGUAUUUGUGUUUUGAUAGAUUUCUUUCCAGCCUAUUAAUCUGUACUUUUUAAAAACCUUAAUGACCUACUGAAUAUGCAGAUUUUGUUCCUAUCCAACAUAGAUCAUAGUUAUUUAGGAAGGACACUGGGGGAGAAGGGCUGGAACAAGAGGGAUCCUUCUGGUGUCCAGAAGUCGUGCUGUAGUCAGCAGCUCCGUGCCCUGGACACCUGCCAUCGUCCCUCCCCUUGUUCAAGGGAAAGCCCGGCAAUAAGCAAAGUGGGGAGAAAAGAACUUGGCCAUGGCUUACAAAAAAUGGUAUACCCAUAAUCCUGGAUGCUACAAAGCUGUGCAUUUUCAUCCUCUGGCCCCAUUACCACCCAUUCAAGGACAAAGCUUCCCUCCCCUCCCCACCAACCGGGGGCCAAUUCAUCUUUCCCUCGUUCAAAUGGCGGGGAGUGCAAAUGUCCGGCAACCACUCACUGUCUUGCCACAAGAUGGCUCCAGAAGCUUCGAGCUGCCCUGAUGCCUGACAUGCUGAGUCCUCCCCGCUCAGUCUCAUUCCAGACACUACAGGAUGUGCCAUACCACCCCCAAAAUGUCCACCCAGGCAGAAAAGAACAUUCCACUACAAAAAGAAGAAGGAGAAGAAGAGAGAGACAGAAAGAAAGAAAGAAAGAAAGAAAGAAAGAAAGAAAGAAAACGAAAAACUUGGAAAUCUGAUCUUAAAGAUACACAUUUUAGGCGCUCCAGGCGGAGACGUUUGCCAGAGAGAAUGACAAGCCGCUCUCCUGACUGUCCCCGGGGAAAACCUUUACAGACUUCUCUCCAGUGGGGCUCCUUCCUAGGAGGAAAAGAAGCUCGAACAAAGGCUUUGCUCCCUCACUCCUACGGGAGUCAUUCUUAGAAAUAAUAAAUGAAGUCAGAUUGAGAGACUUAAUAAAGUCCUCUAAUACAGUUA
This is a long non-coding RNA of Herpailurus yagouaroundi (jaguarundi), 1083 nucleotides long. RefSeq lists it as uncharacterized. The record is from RefSeq and is a predicted model, not a curated record. The transcript is spliced from 2 exons. Lineage: Eukaryota; Metazoa; Chordata; Mammalia; Carnivora; Felidae.